RNAcentral lists this unclassified non-coding RNA (376 nucleotides) under soil metagenome. Its description in RNAcentral is "partial contains 5.8S ribosomal RNA, internal transcribed spacer 2, and large subunit ribosomal RNA". The stretch from base 1 to 120 matches the Rfam family "5.8S ribosomal RNA", at positions 35 to 154 of the family's 154-position model. The record is from RNAcentral.
GAUGAAGAACGCAGCGAAAUGCGAUAAGUAAUGUGAAUUGCAGAAUUCAGUGAAUCAUCGAAUCUUUGAACGCAUCUUGCGCUCCUUGGUAUUCUGAGGAGCAUGCCUGUUUGAGUGUCAUUAAAUUCUCAACUACACUGACUUUGAAUUGGUGUGGCUUGGAUUUGGGGGGAAAAUUGUUGUGGGCUUUUUGUAUAGUCUGCUCCCCUGAAAUUGAUUAGCGGUACCUUUGUGGAACUGUCUACAGGUGUGAUAAUUAUCUACAUCCUAGACAUCUGCUGGAAUGCUGCUUUCUAAACCUUACUUGUAUUGACAAUCUUGACCUCAAAUCAGGUAGGACUACCCGCUGAACUUAAGCAUAUCAAUAAGCGGAGGA